ACCUGACUGCUAUCGGAUUGAUACUAAGCCAUGCGAGUCAUUGUAGCAAUACAAGGCAUACGGCUCAGUAACGCGUAGUCAACCUAACCUAUGGACGGGAAUAACCUCGGGAAACUGAGAAUAAUGCCCGAUAGAACACUAUACCUGGAAUGGUUUGUGUUCCAAAUGAUUUAUCGCCAUAGGAUGGGACUGCGGCCUAUCAGUUUGCUGGUGAGGUAAUGGCCCACCAAGACUAUUACAGGUACGGGCUCUGAGAGGAGUAGCCCGGAGAUGGGUACUGAGACACGGACCCAGGCCCUAUGGGGCGCAGCAGGCGAGAAAACUUUGCAAUGUGCGAAAGCACGACAAGGUUAAUCCGAGUGAUUUGUGCUAAACGAAUCUUUUGUUAGUCCUAGAAACACUAACGAAUAAGGGGUGGGCAAGUUCUGGUGUCAGCCGCCGCGGUAAAACCAGCACCUCAAGUGGUCAGGAUGAUUAUUGGGCCUAAAGCAUCCGUAGCCGGCUCUGUAAGUUUUCGGUUAAAUCUGUACGCUUAACGUACAGGCUGCCGGGAAUACUGCAAAGCUAGGGAGUGGGAGAGGUAGACGGUACUCGGUAGGAGGUGGUAAAAUGCUUUGAUCUAUCGAUGACCACCUGUGGCGAAGGCGGUCUACCAGAACACGUCCGACGGUGAGGGAUGAAAGCUGGGGGAGCAAACCGGAUUAGAUACCCGGGUAGUCCCAGCUGUAAACUAUGCAAACUCAGUGAUGCAUUGGCUUGUGGCCAAUGCAGUGCUGCAGGGAAGCCGUUAAGUUUGCCGCCUGGGAAGUACGUACGCAAGUAUGAAACUUAAAGGAAUUGGCGGGGGAGCACCACAAGGGGUGAAGCCUGCGGUUC
This 876-nucleotide ribosomal RNA is filed under the name uncultured crenarchaeote. Its description in RNAcentral is "bacterial SSU rRNA". It matches the Rfam family "Archaeal small subunit ribosomal RNA", at positions 21 to 903 of the family's 1478-position model. Lineage: Archaea; Thermoproteati; Thermoproteota. The record is from RNAcentral.